RNAcentral lists this ribosomal RNA (253 nucleotides) under uncultured bacterium. Its description in RNAcentral is "partial 16S ribosomal RNA". It matches the Rfam family "Bacterial small subunit ribosomal RNA", at positions 524 to 776 of the family's 1533-position model. The record is from RNAcentral.
UACGUAGGGGGCGAGCGUUGUCCGGAGUUACUGGGCGUAAAGCGCUUGUAGGCGGUCCACCAAGUUUGGGGUGACAGUUGCCGACUUAAUCGGCAAAGUGCCUCAAAGACUGGCGGACUUGAGGGCCACAGAGGGACAUGGAACUCCAGGUGUAGUGGUGAAAUGCGUAGAUAUCUGGAAGAACACCAAAGGCGAAGGCAGUGUCCUGGGUGGUCGCUGACGCUGAGAGGCGAAAGCCAGGGGAGCGAAUGGG